RNAcentral lists this ribosomal RNA (842 nucleotides) under uncultured bacterium. RNAcentral describes it as "bacterial SSU rRNA". It matches the Rfam family "Bacterial small subunit ribosomal RNA", at positions 74 to 930 of the family's 1533-position model. The record is from RNAcentral.
GGGAGCAAUCUCCUGUAAAAUCAGUGGCGAACGGGUGAGUAACGCGUGGCUAACCUGCCCCUAUGCCCGGGACAACCUCCCGAAAGAGGGGCUAAUACCGGAUGUGCUUUCCCCGGGGCAUCCCGGGGAAAGUAAAGGAGAAAUCCGCGUGGGGAGGGGGCUGCGUCUUAUCAGCUUGUUGGUGAAGUAACGGCUCACCAAGGCGACGACGGGUAGCCGGUCUGAGAGGAUGAACGGCCACACUGGGACUGAGACACGGUCCAGACUCCUACGGGAGGCAGCAGUGAGGGAUUUUGCGCAAUGGGCGAAAGCCUGACGCAGCGACGCCGCGUGAGGGAAGAAGGCUCUCGGGUUGUAAACCUCUGUCAGCGGGGAAGAGGAAGGACGGUACCUGCUGAGGAAGCCUCGGCUAACAUACGUGCCAGCAGCCGCGGAUAUACGUAGGGGGCGAGCGUUGUCCGGAAUCACUGGGUGUAAAGAGCUCGUAGGCGGAGACGUAAGUGCAAGGACAAAGCCCAAGCUUAACCCUGGAAUGAGCUUGAAUACUGCUUUCUCGAGGACGGAGAGGAAGUGGAAUUCCCGGUGUAGCGGUAAAAUGCGUAGAUAUCGGGAGGAACACCAGUGGCGAAGGCGGCUCUCUGGUCGGUCCCUGACGCUGAGGAGCGAAAGCUAGGGGAGCGAACGGGAUUAGAUACCCCGCGUAGUCCUAGCUGUAAACGAUGGGCACUAGGUGUAGGUGGUGUUAAAGCCAUCUGUGCCGCAGGAAACCCAUUAAGUGCCCCACCUGGGGAGUACGGCCGCAAGGUUGAAACUCAAAGGAAUUGACGGGGGCCCGCACAAGC